Long non-coding RNA from Homo sapiens (human), 1197 nucleotides. Ensembl annotates it as HIF1A stabilizing long noncoding RNA. Its record names the gene HISLA. The record is from Ensembl. NCBI's taxonomy places the organism in Eukaryota, Metazoa, Chordata, Mammalia, Primates, Hominidae.
AUUGUGACCAAAAGUCCCCCUCCAGGGUGUUAAACUCCUGGAGGAUACUCAUAAGCCAGGACUUCCCAAGAGUGUCCCAUGGAACCUGAGUUCUAAGGACGGUACAUGAAAAAAAUCAACAUGGGUUCCAUGAUCAAAGAAGUUUGGGAAAUGGGCUAAAUGAAAGGACUUCCAAGGCCUUUUAUCUGCUAAUGAGAAAGAACAAGCCCUGUGAAAAACAAGCUGCUGUCCCUGCUAGAGGCAUCCUGCAAUCCAUGGAUGUUUAUCACCAAGCCAUUGUUAACAUGAGGUGGUUUCCAAAAGGAAAAGCUUUGGGAGAUAGAAGUCCUCGUUUUGACCUCUGCCCUCCUUGUACACCAGGAGCCAGAAAAACUUCAUCUCUUUUACAAGAAACAUUGAGAUUCCUGUAAAAUUAAGAAAUCACACAAUUUGAUGGUCUACAUUAUCUAAAGCAAAUGAGACUUCUAUUUGGAACAAAGACUACCUUGUUGGGAAAUGAGUCUGCAAGUUAAAGUGUUUUCUGGAUCCAGUAUCUGCCGGAGGAGCCCCACCUUCUGCUACUAUUAUGUUCUUCAGAUGAGUAGAAGAGAGUGGGGAGGGAGAGAGCAGGAAGAAGAAAGGAAGAAUAAUGUCUUGAAAUUGAUGAUGCAUAUCAUAAAUUAUUACUCACCCCAUGUUCCCACCCUCGAGAGACCUCCAAACAAUCACCAUGCCACAGUGAACAUUCAGUAACAAAAAUUCAGCCAGGGUUUUCACCAGCAUGAAUGGCAGUGAUUCCAAUCAGGAAAACAGAAAGAGGAGAGUUCAGAGCCACCUAGAAUGGCUCUUGCAAGAUACGAAAUCAAGGCAGCAGCAACAGGGCUGAACAUUCCUCAUCCCUAACUCUCCCUUCACCAGUAGGAAACCCAGGAUAACUGCAAUCACCGCAGGCCCAUCUGGCCUGAAGUUCUACUACUAGUAGCCCUCCAUGGGACCUUCUUAAGGAAGCAUGUCAACUCAGGUAAGGGAUGUAAGGGGAUGGAUGACCCUUUGAGGCCAAAGUUGGAGCAAAAAACACCAGAUGUUCCUGUGCACUGCUCCUAAGAGAUGGUUCUGAAGACCAGUUCGGGGAGAGGUCAAAAUACUGGACAGAAUCUCAGCAACAUGGAACCUCAAACUAAGUGACAGUCACAGACAACUCUUCCCCAAAGAAAAUAA